Molecule: ribosomal RNA, 921 nt
Filed under: Lophiostoma dictyosporum
Lineage: Eukaryota; Fungi; Ascomycota; Dothideomycetes; Pleosporales; Lophiostomataceae
Description: partial large subunit ribosomal RNA
Rfam family: Eukaryotic large subunit ribosomal RNA
Source: RNAcentral
AUUGACCUCGGAUCAGGUAGGGAUACCCGCUGAACUUAAGCAUAUCAAUAAGCGGAGGAAAAGAAACCAACAGGGAUUGCCCUAGUAACGGCGAGUGAAGCGGCAACAGCUCAAAUUUGAAAUCUGGCUCCUUUGGGGUCCGAGUUGUAAUUUGUAGAGGGUGCUUUGGCGUUGGCUGUGGUCUAAGUUCCUUGGAACAGGACGUCACAGAGGGUGAGAAUCCCGUACGUGGCCGCCAGCCUCCGCCGUGUAAAGCCCCUUCGAUGAGUCGAGUUGUUUGGGAAUGCAGCUCUAAAUGGGAGGUAAAUUUCUUCUAAAGCUAAAUAUUUGCCAGAGACCGAUAGCGCACAAGUAGAGUGAUCGAAAGAUGAAAAGCACUUUGGAAAGAGAGUCAAAAAGCACGUGAAAUUGUUGAAAGGGAAGCGCUUGCAGCUAGACGUGCCUUGGGUUGAUCAGCCGGGCUUUUGCCCGGUGCACUCUUCCUUUGGCAGGCCAGCAUCAGUUUGGGCGGCUGGAUAAAGGUCUGUUAAACGUGACUUCCUUCGGGGAGAGCUUAUAGGGCAGACGACAUGCAGCCAGCCCGAACUGAGGUCCGCGCAUCUGCUAGGAUGCUGGCGUAAUAGCUGUAAGCGGCCCGUCUUGAAACACGGACCAAGGAGUCUAACAUCUAUGCGAGUGUUUGGGUGUCAAGCCCGAGCGCGUAAUGAAAGUAAACGGAGGUGGGAACCCUUUGGGUGCACCAUCGACCGAUCCUGAUGUCUUCGGAUGGAUUUGAGUAAGAGCAUAGCUGUUGGGACCCGAAAGAUGGUGAACUAUGCCUGAAUAGGGUGAAGCCAGAGGAAACUCUGGUGGAGGCUCGCAGCGGUUCUGACGUGCAAAUCGAUCGUCAAAUUUGGGCAUAGGGGCGAAAGACUAAUCGAC